This 1168-nucleotide ribosomal RNA is filed under the name Klebsiella oxytoca. RNAcentral's name for it is "partial 23S ribosomal RNA". It matches the Rfam family "Bacterial large subunit ribosomal RNA", at positions 591 to 1759 of the family's 2925-position model. The record is from RNAcentral. Lineage: Bacteria; Pseudomonadati; Pseudomonadota; Gammaproteobacteria; Enterobacterales; Enterobacteriaceae.
GGGUGACUGCGUACCUUUUGUAUAAUGGGUCAGCGACUUAUAUUCUGUAGCAAGGUUAACCGUAUAGGGGAGCCGCAGGGAAACCGAGUCUUAACUGGGCGUUAAGUUGCAGGGUAUAGACCCGAAACCCGGUGAUCUAGCCAUGGGCAGGUUGAAGGUUGGGUAACACUAACUGGAGGACCGAACCGACUAAUGUUGAAAAAUUAGCGGAUGACUUGUGGCUGGGGGUGAAAGGCCAAUCAAACCGGGAGAUAGCUGGUUCUCCCCGAAAGCUAUUUAGGUAGCGCCUCGUGAACUCAUCUUCGGGGGUAGAGCACUGUUUCGGCUAGGGGGUCAUCCCGACUUACCAACCCGAUGCAAACUACGAAUACCGAAGAAUGUUAUCACGGGAGACACACGGCGGGUGCUAACGUCCGUCGUGAAGAGGGAAACAACCCAGACCGCCAGCUAAGGUCCCAAAGUCAUGGUUAAGUGGGAAACGAUGUGGGAAGGCCCAGACAGCCAGGAUGUUGGCUUAGAAGCAGCCAUCAUUUAAAGAAAGCGUAAUAGCUCACUGGUCGAGUCGGCCUGCGCGGAAGAUGUAACGGGGCUAAACCAUGCACCGAAGCUGCGGCAGCGACACUAUGUGUUGUUGGGUAGGGGAGCGUUCUGUAAGCCGUUGAAGGUGGCCUGUGAGGGUUGCUGGAGGUAUCAGAAGUGCGAAUGCUGACAUAAGUAACGAUAAUGCGGGUGAAAAACCCGCACGCCGGAAGACCAAGGGUUCCUGUCCAACGUUAAUCGGGGCAGGGUGAGUCGACCCCUAAGGCGAGGCCGAAAGGCGUAGUCGAUGGGAAACAGGUUAAUAUUCCUGUACUUGGUGUUACUGCGAAGGGGGGACGGAGAAGGCUAUGUUGGCCGGGCGACGGUUGUCCCGGUUUAAGCAUGUAGGCGGAUGUUCCAGGUAAAUCCGGAACGUCACUAACGCUGAGGUGUGAUGACGAGGCACUACGGUGCUGAAGUGACAAAUGCCCUGCUUCCAGGAAAAGCCUCUAAGCAUCAGGUAACAUCAAAUCGUACCCCAAACCGACACAGGUGGUCAGGUAGAGAAUACCAAGGCGCUUGAGAGAACUCGGGUGAAGGAACUAGGCAAAAUGGUGCCGUAACUUCGGGAGAAGGCACGCUGAUGGUA